Molecule: ribosomal RNA, 440 nt
Filed under: uncultured bacterium
Lineage: Bacteria
Description: bacterial SSU rRNA
Rfam family: Bacterial small subunit ribosomal RNA
Source: RNAcentral
GCAGAACGCGAAGAACCUUACCAAGGCUUGACAUCCACAGGAUCUGCUAGAAAUAGCGGAGUGUCCAAAAGGAAACUGUGAGACAGGUGGUGCAUGGCUGUCGUCAGCUCGUGUCGUGAGAUGUUGGGUUAAGUCCCGCAACGAGCGCAACCCUCGAUGCUAGUUACCAUCAUUAAGUUGGGGACUCUAGCGUGACUGCCGGUGAUAAGCCGGAGGAAGGUGAGGACGACGUCAAGUCAUCAUGCCCCUUACGUCUUGGGCUACACACGUCCUACAAUGGCAUAGACAAAGGGCAGCAAGUUAGCGAUAACAAGCGAAUCCCAUAAACUAUGUCUCAGUUCGGAUUGCAGGCUGCAACUCGCCUGCAUGAAGUUGGAAUCGCUAGUAACCGUAGAUCAGCACGCUACGGUGAAUACGUUCCCCGGGUCUUGUACACACCG